This 253-nucleotide ribosomal RNA is filed under the name uncultured bacterium. RNAcentral describes it as "partial 16S ribosomal RNA". It matches the Rfam family "Bacterial small subunit ribosomal RNA", at positions 524 to 776 of the family's 1533-position model. The record is from RNAcentral.
UACGAAGGGGGCGAGCGUUGUUCGGAUUUACUGGGCGUAAAGGGCGCGUAGGCGGACAGUUAAGUCGGGGGUGAAAGCCCGGGGCUCAACCUCGGAAUUGCCUUCGAUACUGGCUGUCUUGAGUAUGGGAGAGGUGUGUGGAACUCCGAGUGUAGAGGUGAAAUUCGUAGAUAUUCGGAAGAACACCAGUGGCGAAGGCGACACACUGGCCCAUUACUGACGCUGAUGCGCGAAAGCGUGGGGAGCAAACAGG